This 253-nucleotide ribosomal RNA is filed under the name uncultured bacterium. RNAcentral describes it as "partial 16S ribosomal RNA". It matches the Rfam family "Bacterial small subunit ribosomal RNA", at positions 524 to 776 of the family's 1533-position model. The record is from RNAcentral.
UACAGAGGCCUCGAGCGUUAGGCGGAAUCACUGGGCUUAAAGCGUGUGUAGGCGGACUUCUAAGUACCUUGUGAAAUCCCACGGCUCACCCGUGGAACUGCUGGGUAUACUGGGCGUCUUGAGCCACCUAGGGGCCAGCGGAACAAAUGGUGGAGCGGUGAAAUGCGUAGAUAUCAUCUGGAACGCCAACGGUGAAAACAGCUGGCUGGGGGUGUGCUGACGCUGAGACACGAAAGCCGGGGGAGCGAACGGG